AUAGUUUGAUUCUAGCUAACAUGUUAUUUUUCUUUAUACAAGUACAUGAAACAAUUAAGCUCCCUAUUGCCAAAUAAAUCUAAAAGAUAAGCAACAUUUUUACAUAUAAAAAUGAAAUGCCUCAGUACAUAAUUCUAUAUUAAUCAGCUAAUGAGUAAUGGUAAUAAAGAGAAUAGGCCGGCCAAAUUCGUGCCAGCCGCCGCGGUUAGACGAUAGGCCAAAAAUAACAUUUAAAGGCUGUAUGUUAUAGUUAAAGAUAAACUAAAAAAUUUUAAGAGGUUCAAUUCAUACCAUCUUAGUCACACAGUUACCUUUUUAUAAACACGUAAAACCAUAAAUUAAAACAAGGAUUAGAUACCCUUCUAUUUAUGGCAUAUUCAAAGCCGGAUAAUACGAACAAUAGUUUAAAAUCCAAAGAACUUGGCGGUAUCUUAUAAAAUCAGGGGAACCUGUCACUUAAUUCGAUAAUCCACGAACAUCUCCACCUUUUUUUGAAUAACAGCCUGUGUACUGCUGUCGUCAGUAAACCUUUAAAAGAAAGUUUACAAUAAUAUAAAUACAAUAUUUACGUCAAGUCAAAGUGCAGCUAAUAUAAAGGAGUAGAUGGGUUACAAUCUAAAAAUAGACUACGGAUGCACAUAUAACUUGCUGCUGAAGGUGGACUUGAUAGUAAUGAAGUAUAAUCAUGAAAAUUAAUCUAAGAUAUGCACACAUCGCCCGUCACUCUCGUCUAAAGAUGAGAAAAGUCGUAACAUAGUAGACAUAACGGAAGUUGUGUCUGU
Molecule: non-coding RNA, 782 nt
Filed under: Mesenchytraeus cf. gelidus SL-2017
Lineage: Eukaryota; Metazoa; Annelida; Clitellata; Enchytraeida; Enchytraeidae
Source: RNAcentral